Molecule: unclassified non-coding RNA, 345 nt
Filed under: soil metagenome
Description: partial contains 5.8S ribosomal RNA, internal transcribed spacer 2, and large subunit ribosomal RNA
Rfam family: 5.8S ribosomal RNA (bases 1-121)
Source: RNAcentral
GAUGAAGAACGUAGCGAAAUGCGAUAAGUAAUGCGAAUUGCAGAAUUUCCGUGAGUCAUCGAAUCUUUGAACGCACAUUGCGCCCACUGGUAUUCCGGUGGGCAUGCCUGUUCGAGCGUCAUUAUCCUCCCUCAAACCCCGGGUUUGGUGUUGGACCCAAGUUGUGUGAACAACUGGUCUUAAAGACAAUGACGGCGUCCGUGGGACCCUCGGUGCAACGAGCUUGUAGGAGCACGCAUCGAGUUGCAAGGACCUUCCGGGCCGGUCUCCUUUACUAUUUUACAAGGUUGACCUCGGAUCAGGUAGGAAUACCCGCUGAACUUAAGCAUAUCAAUAAGCGGAGGA